GACGAAGGGGGCUAGCGUUGUUCGGAAUUACUGGGCGUAAAGCGUGCGCAGGCGGCGCGUUAAGACAGGUGUGAAAGCCCCGAGCUUAACUUGGGAAUUGCGCUUGUGACUGGCGUGCUGGAGUGUGGCAGAGGGAGGUGGAAUUCCACGUGUAGCAGUGAAAUGCGUAGAGAUGUGGAGGAACACCGAUGGCGAAGGCAGCCUCCUGGGCCAGCACUGACGCUCAUGCACGAAAGCGUGGGGAGCAAACAGG
This 253-nucleotide ribosomal RNA is filed under the name uncultured bacterium. RNAcentral describes it as "partial 16S ribosomal RNA". It matches the Rfam family "Bacterial small subunit ribosomal RNA", at positions 524 to 776 of the family's 1533-position model. The record is from RNAcentral.